AAAAUAAAAAUUUAUGUAUUUACUUUGACCAAAAUGUCUUCCAAUUUUUCAAACAAGCGAUAUGGCACUGUAUGUAAUAUUAUUCGGCCUAAGCAUAUUUAUGAUAGCGCUAGUAUUGGCUAUUAUAAAAAAAAUGUUCUUCUGUUGGCAAGAAGAGCACAAAAUAGAAAGAAUGAUGCUAACUACAGUGGACAGACCUGCUGUCUGCGUAAUGAUAUGUAUGGAAAAGUGCGUAAUACGACAGCGGAAAUAUGCGGACAACAUAAGCAUAUUCGAUGUCAUUGAUAAAAGUGAUAUUAGUCUACAGAAGAACAGAUUUAAAACAUCAAUUGGGUCCUAUGUAGAACAUACCAUUUAUGUGAAUAAAGACAAACACACUUCAACAACUUAGGUCAGGAGAAGUCGUCUGCUCGCGUCGGAGGUUUAGACAGGACUGCCCUCGUUGUCUUUUGUCCAAAGAAAGUCGGUCUAAUUUCGAAUCCUGUCAGUCUAGUAAGUCUGUCUUUGUGGCCUGUCAGUCGGGUCAUCCAUGGAAGCUGGACGUUGGUCAUCCAUGGAGGCUGGACGCGACACUCUUGAAGAAUGACAAAUAUAGAUUUGGAACAUGGCGAUGUUGAGGAUUAAUUUUUUUUUUCUACAGAUGUAAUUAAUAUGCUGCCACUGAAAUGGGACUUCUUAAACCAAAAAUUGAGUAACACACUUCACACAUCGGCACAUUUAACAAUACUGUGAUAAGAAAAACAGUAUGCAGUGUUUUUCCAAAAGACUGGCCGUUUAUAUACUUUAUUAUUAUUAGAUAUAAUUUGAGAAUAAAAAAUAGUUGACAGUCAUUUUUUUAUUAAUUUGUUUUAAUUUCCUAUUGUUAGAAAGAGGGUACCUCA
Long non-coding RNA from Hyposmocoma kahamanoa, 881 nucleotides. RefSeq lists it as uncharacterized. The record is from RefSeq and is a predicted model, not a curated record. Lineage: Eukaryota; Metazoa; Arthropoda; Insecta; Lepidoptera; Cosmopterigidae. The transcript has 3 exons.